This 253-nucleotide ribosomal RNA is filed under the name uncultured bacterium. RNAcentral's name for it is "partial 16S ribosomal RNA". It matches the Rfam family "Bacterial small subunit ribosomal RNA", at positions 524 to 776 of the family's 1533-position model. The record is from RNAcentral.
UACGGAGGAUGCAAGCGUUAUCCGGAAUGAUUGGGCGUAAAGCGUCCGCAGGUGGUUUUGUAAGUCUGCUGUCAAAGCGUCAUGCUCAACAUGAUACAGGCAGUGGAAACUACGAGACUAGAGUGCGUUAGGGGUGAAGGGAAUUCCUGGUGUAGCGGUGAAAUGCGUAGAGAUCAGGAAGAACACCGGUGGCGAAGGCGCUUCACUAUGCCGCAACUGACGCUGAGGGACGAAAGCUAGGGGAGCGAAAGGG